This 89-nucleotide small nucleolar RNA is filed under the name Sphenodon punctatus (tuatara). The record is from RNAcentral. Lineage: Eukaryota; Metazoa; Chordata; Lepidosauria; Sphenodontia; Sphenodontidae.
UGUAAAUGAUGGUCCAAUAGAUCCUUCUGACCCUUCCAUUGUUCUGUACUCAAGGAAUGGGAUCUGAGGAGACAACCUAAACUGAUACA